This 368-nucleotide ribosomal RNA is filed under the name uncultured organism. RNAcentral's name for it is "bacterial SSU rRNA". It matches the Rfam family "Bacterial small subunit ribosomal RNA", at positions 526 to 896 of the family's 1533-position model. The record is from RNAcentral.
CGAAGGACCCAAGCGUUAUCCGGAUUUAUUGGGUUUAAAGGGUGCGUAGGCGGAUUAUUAAGUCAGUGGUGAAAGCCUGCAGCUUAACUGCAGAAUUGCCAUUGAUACUGAUGAUCUUGAGUAUGAUUGAGGUGGGCGGAAUGUGUCAUGUAGCGGUGAAAUGCUUAGAUAUGACACAGAACACCGAUUGCGAAGGCAGCUCACUAAGCCAUAACUGACGCUGAUGCACGAAAGCGUGGGGAGCAAACAGGAUUAGAUACCCUGGUAGUCCACGCCCUAAACGAUGAUCACUCGAUGUGUGCGAUACACUGUACGCGUCUGAGCGAAAGCAUUAAGUGAUCCACCUGGGGAGUACGACCGCAAGGUUG